GCUGGUAAGUCUAACAGCCCCCUCCCCAGCUCCUCUCUGGGUCCUUGAAUUCACCACCUCUUUCCUCCUCACAGCUUGAGACUGAAUUUCAUAGCCUCCAGACCAACCAGCAGGCUGCCAGCUCUGAAAACCAGCAGCUGAAACAAACCAACCAGGACCUGGAGACCCAGCUACACCAAAUCCACCAGCAGCUCCAAGAGACCCAAGAGCACCUGGGUGCUAUGAAAAGCAGGGUAUCCCAGCUGCAAAGUGAAGAAACAAGGGACAGACCACUGGCUGACAUGUCCUUUGAGAUUCCUUCGCCUUCCCAGGAAAUGCUGAAUAAGGAAAUGCCCCACUCUGAAAUGUGGAUCAGGCUUGGAUCCCAGCUCAGGCAUCAGGAACCAGAGGGCACCCCUCAG
Molecule: long non-coding RNA, 401 nt
Filed under: Crocodylus porosus (Australian saltwater crocodile)
Lineage: Eukaryota; Metazoa; Chordata; Crocodylia; Crocodylidae
Description: lncRNA (ENSCPRG00005005751.1)
Source: RNAcentral